CUAAAGACUUGUUCAGAGAUGCUGCAAGUGACUCACAUGACAUUCUGAACACAUGUUCCUUAUCCAUCAUCCCAGCUCCUGCCCACUAUACAACUUGUUCCAGCACACUUAUACAGAACAGCAGGAAGAAAGUGGAGAUCACUGAAGGGAGAGCACAUCCGUUCAUUGUGUGAGAACUCUUGCAAAUCCAUGAGGAGACAAAGUUGAAGACAGAAAUGGACUGUGCCCUCAAGCACUGUAGUCAAGUCAAGGAGACAGAAAACUCUGGAGUUCCGCUGUUCUCCUUGAUCGGUGAGCUUGGUCUGGCUGGAUGUUCUUGCUGAUCUUCUGGUGAAGGGGCCUGUUGCAGUGAGUAUCAAAUGUCUUUGCCCAAGGCAGAAUUGCACUGCCGUUGCCGGGGGUCAAGCUAUGUA
RNAcentral lists this long non-coding RNA (413 nucleotides) under Mustela putorius furo (domestic ferret). RNAcentral describes it as "lncRNA (ENSMPUG00000028580.1)". Lineage: Eukaryota; Metazoa; Chordata; Mammalia; Carnivora; Mustelidae. The record is from RNAcentral.